Drosophila miranda is the source of this 673-nucleotide long non-coding RNA. RefSeq lists it as uncharacterized. The record is from RefSeq and is a predicted model, not a curated record. Lineage: Eukaryota; Metazoa; Arthropoda; Insecta; Diptera; Drosophilidae. The transcript has 3 exons.
AUCCGAUAAAGUAUCCCUCUAGUACUGGCGGUGGCGAUUGACCAUGCCCGAACUACUGAUUUGGCUGGUUCCUACAUGGGUACUUUCCGGACUAACCCUAUGGUAAACGAACGCCGAACCACUCAAAGAAGAGACAAAAAAUGUUGCUCUGUAUACUCUACAACCCACCGCGCACCAGCCACCGAACUAGUUCGGUUUGGAUGCAACGUCUCACCAGUAGACGAAGAAACGAAAAAGCAUGAGAGGAAAAUGAAGAGAGCAGGUAGCUACAAAUGAUGCUGAUCUGCUCUUCUCCUUUCCCUUUUCUGUUUUCGUAAGUCAAAGCAAAUGUAUAGCAAACGGCAUUUGUGUAGGCUCAAUAAAGAAAUAUAAGACAAAUAUGCAGCCAAACAUAAUCGUGUUAGCGGAGAAACAGUGUCGUGCAGUGAAAUAGAAAAAGUUUAAGGCCGCGAAAUAGGAGAGACAAUCGACGAAAAUGAAACAAAUGGAAAGUGACACUGAAAAAUUUAAAGAACUUCUUUAGAGUUUUGAUUGAUGCCAUAACUGUAGAUACGGGGACUGGAUCAGCUGAAGUCCAGAUUAGGAAGGCCCUACAGCUGCAAAAAAAACAUUUUUUCAAAAACAGUACCACCGCGAACAGCAGACCUUAAUUAGUCAAUUUAAAAACUUAAAU